Molecule: long non-coding RNA, 1479 nt
Filed under: Marmota monax (woodchuck)
Lineage: Eukaryota; Metazoa; Chordata; Mammalia; Rodentia; Sciuridae
Source: RNAcentral
AUUCAUAAGACUUUUCCAUAUCAGAAGCCAGUCAGAUCCAUCAUUCUUCUCUGACAGCUGCUUGGUAUUCUUUUAUAAGAAAGGACCAUAGUUUAAUUAACCAGUCCUCCAUUGAUGGCUAUUGCCAACCUUUUACCAUUACAAACAAUUCUACAGUGAAAACCACAUGCAUAGUGUCAUAAAUAUCAGUUGCUGUAUUUCUCUAUUGCAAGGCAAGCAAGAAAACAGGCCUCAGGAGUUGAGGUAAUGGCAGAGGGUCACAGCAAGUUGUCCUUGCCUGAAGCCUCCCUUAGUGCAGAGCCUGCCACUCAACGUCCUCACUCCACCCUGUCUACAGGCUAAAUGAGGUCACACGAGUGCUUUCAGAAGUUUGUUACCCACAGAGAGAUCACAUAUCACUACCAAGGAAACCCAAAGGAAGUCCAAGUUCUAGUAAGAAAAGUAACAAUCUAGUCAUGAUCAGUUUUGAAUUCUUCCCUGCUCUCAAGAAGAGAAUUGAUGCAUUCUCGACAAUUUCUUCAUGUUUUACUUGUUCUUUUUAGAUUAUACAUGACAGUAGAGUGUGUUUUGACAUAUUAUACAUACAUGGAGUAUAACAUAUUCUAAUUAAGAUCCCAUUAUUGGGGUUGUAUGUGAUGUGAAAGUACAAUGGGCAUGAAUUCAUAUGUGGACACAGGAAAGUUACAUCGGAUUCAUUCUACAGUCUUCCCUAUUCCUCUCCCCCUCCCUUCCCUUUAUUCCCCUUUGACUAAUCCAAUGAAUUUCUGUCCCCCCACCCCAGCCUGUUGUGUGUGAACAUCCACAUAUCAGAGAGAACAUUCAGCCUUUGAUUUCUUGGGAUUGGCUUACAAUAUGUGUUUUUUAUCAUUAAGCAUUUUAUGUGGUUGACAAUGUGACAGUUUUAUGGGCGAACACAUGAUGCUUCAUGUUAGAGAGGCGUUUGGUUAUUUAUUUUAUUUUUGUGGUGUUGGGGAUCAAACCCAGGGCCUUGCAUCUGCCAGGCAGAUGGUCUACCACUGAGCUAAACCCCCAGUGAGCAAUUCCUAGAGAGAUUUCAAGCAACAAGGAGAGAGCGAAUUUCCCUCAGAAGUUUGAGGAGCUUUCUUAUACAAGCUCAAGGAAUUGAUCAUCUGCUUAAAACAUCCGUAGCGAAUAUCCACAUAGUGAAAACACAACCACAACAGUUUCUUUCGAGAGGAAGAAAUAGUACAGAAUUAGAGCUGAUGAGGGGGAAAAAUAUUACCGGAAGGAAGUAAUCUAAUACAAUCGAAGAUUGAUUGGCCUUUGAUAAAAUGUACUGGAGUAAGGAUAUGGUCAAAUAGGUGUUCUGAUAAAAGAGGAAACUGGGGCAGGUGAGGUUAACCAAUGUAUCUAAGCAACAAAGUGCUGGCACGGACUCAUACAGCCCCCUGAGGGCUGAUAUUCAGGAAUUCGGCAAGCAAAUUUGUAGAUUAAAAUUUAAAAAAAAAAAAAAUAGGC